CAGGGGGUAGUUUAAUGAGAAUUCCAGCUUUGGGUGCUGGUGGUGGGGCUUUGGCCUCUUCCCUGA
This 66-nucleotide transfer RNA is filed under the name Camelus bactrianus (Bactrian camel). RNAcentral describes it as "tRNA-Pro". Lineage: Eukaryota; Metazoa; Chordata; Mammalia; Artiodactyla; Camelidae. RNAcentral also lists the same sequence under 3 other names. The record is from RNAcentral.